AUGACUCAGUCGGUCCUGUGGCAGCCACACAGAGGCAGACCCCAAAACACACACACACACACACACACACACACACACACACCACACACACCACACACAAACCACACUUGCACCACACACACCAUGCACAAACACACACCACACAUACCACAUACACCACAUACACACCACACACACCACACACCACACACAAACACACACCACACACCACACACAAACACACACUACACACACACCACACUCAUACCACACACACCAUGCACACACACCACACGUACCACACACACCACAUACACACCACACACACCACACACACACACCACACAUACCACACACACCACAUACCACACACACACCACACACCACACACAAACACCACACACAAACACACACUACACACACACCACACUCAUACCACACACACCAUGCACAAACACACACCACACAUACCACACACACCACAUACACACCACACACACACCACACACCACACACAAACACACCACACACACACUACACACACACCACACUCGUACCACACACACCAUGCACACACACCACACACACCACACACCACACACACACCACACACAAACACACACCACACAUACCACACACACCACAUACACACCACACACACACCACACACCACACACAAACACACACUACACACACCACACUCGUACCACACACCAUGCACACACACCACACAUACCACACACACCACACACAAACACACACACCACACAUACCACACACACCACACACAAACACACACACCACACAUACCACACACACCACACACAAACACACACCACACAUACCACACACACCACAUACACACCACACACACACCACACCACACACACCACACACAAACCAUACACGCACCACACAUACACUACACACACACACACCACACAUACCACACACACCACAUACCACACACCACACAAACACACCACACAUUACACACAAACACACCACACAUUACACACAAACACACCACACACAAACCAUACUCGCAGCACACACACCAUGCACAAACACACACCACACAUACCACAUACACACCACACAUAA
This 1083-nucleotide long non-coding RNA is filed under the name Callithrix jacchus (white-tufted-ear marmoset). Its description in RNAcentral is "lncRNA (ENSCJAG00000081246.1)". Lineage: Eukaryota; Metazoa; Chordata; Mammalia; Primates; Cebidae. The record is from RNAcentral.